CUCUCAACAAGUUCAAGAUGGUAAAAUAAUUAAAAAACAACAGGGACGACACCAUCACCGCUGCCACAACCUCCACCUCCUCUCUUUUUCCUGCACUUCACCUCCACCCACAUCGUCAUAGCCUUGGAUCCACAUCCUGCCAUCGCCAGUGCUACCUCCUCUUUGUGUGGUCAUCACUGACAAGGUUUAAAAGGCUGCCAAGAACAAUAUGAAUGGAGCAGUAAGUACUAGUCCAAUAGAGAAUCGGAUCAUGACCAGCCCAUUUCAAGCGAUGCAGGCCAGUUCAAGAGUUUUUUAAUUAAAAAGCCACCUUCUCUCAAUCACUACACCAAACUCUGCGUCCCUUGCUCAUGCCUGCACCUGUGCCCUAGGCCACCCUUCGCCAACCCAUGGUAUGCAAUUUUGAAUGGUACCACCCGGUAUGAGCGGUACAUACCGGUCCGACGGUGUACCGAUACGUGGACCGCUAUAGUG
Molecule: long non-coding RNA, 474 nt
Filed under: Musa acuminata (dwarf banana)
Lineage: Eukaryota; Viridiplantae; Streptophyta; Magnoliopsida; Zingiberales; Musaceae
Description: long non-coding RNA (MACU_LNC004350)
Source: RNAcentral